UCUUAUUUUAAGCCCUAAUUUUGAUUUGCAUUUGCUAUGGAUUACAUUUAUAUCGACUGAUAUGCAUUAACUGUAACUGAAUGUUAUUAGUAGUCUAUUUUACACUUGGUUGUUUUUUUUUUGUUAUUAACUAUUGUGUGUGCAUUUUGUUAAUUUUGAUUAGGUUUCAUGUUACACAAAUUUAUUAUUUCAUGAUUUAGAAUGGUCAUGUAGGUCUGUAAACCUGAAUUAUUAUGUAUUAUUUUUGGGCUUGGUCCAUUUAAUAACAGCCCUCAUAAAUACAAUUGUUUUGUUUAUGGGGAAAUUUCUAUUACGGGUCAAACUGCCUAAUUAGCUGUAGGGGCAUUUUGGGUAAUUUUUAUAUAACUAAAAAGGAGCUAGGUCAUUUCGAAAUAACUAAUUUAGAAAGGCCCAAACUAUCUACACACUUGGUGUGUAGAUAGUCACCCCAAAAAGGUGGUUUUUGUCCUUAUAUGCACACCCUGCAGUGUCGAACUGUGUCCAAAACGUGGCGUUUUGGUCCGGUUAACCAGAUAAAGAUUGACGGGUGUCUGACGGGUCUGUCGACCGGACCAAAACGCCGAGCUUUGGCCGUGUUUUGGUCAUGCAACCAGACCGGGUGUCAGUCUUUUGUCUGGUUGACAGGACCAAAACGCGGCCAAAGCUCGACGUUUUGGUCCGGUCAACAGACCCGUCAGAAACCCGUCAGUCUUUUUCGGUUACCCGGACCAAAACGCAGCAUUUUGGCCACAAUUCGACACUGCAGGGUGUGCAUAUAAGGACAAAAAACACCUUUUAAUGUGUGUAGAUAGGCAAAUGGGUGUGCCAAUAGGUACACCCUUUAGAAACCAUUCAAAAUAUAUAGAAGAUGAAACUAAUUUUCUUAAAAGUGUACUUUCAUUUGCAAAAAGACAAGAAGAUGAGCCUACAUAUGAGUUAGAAAAUGGAGCGGAGCAACAGCAGUAGAAUAGUCUAGAUUAGCCAUUGAUGACUUUUGAAGGUGCAGCUGCAGAUAAAUAGGUCUAUGGUUUGGUGCAAUAGUUUACUAAAUUUUUUUUCCAGAUAUAUGCAUAUAUAACGGGUGAGCCGACUUGUUUGUACUUGUAUGAUCUUUAAAUGUUUUUUAAGUGACUUCUACCAUUGUGACUUCUACCUGUCUGUUGUUAAUUCAUGUGGUGUUGUAGGCUGAACAAAAUCAAGAAAUUGCUAAGAUAUCGUACUAUGCUUCGUCGUCAGAACAGCUCAGGUACGAGGGAAAACUGUCUACCUACAGUACUCCAACCGGCAAGAAAUUGUGAACAACAAAACAUCUGCAGCUGUUGCUGGAAAUGUACUUUUGGUAACCAUUGAUGGUAAUGAUACCCGCUCUAUCAGCAUUAUAUUUCUGAAUUUUGUCUCUUCAUUGUUGUCUAUUAAGUAGUGCUUGCAUAGAAGCCUGUUUGAAAUCGCGUUUGUACAACUUUUGAGAAGACAGCUGGAUUUCAGGCGCUGGUACAGUUUACUGAUUCGGAAACUGCUACUUCUGCGAAGGAUGCUCUUAUUGCUUUGCUUUUUCAGAGACUGAAAAAAGAUGCACUGUGGAUAGGCACUUAGGUGGCGUCGAUGGGAACA
This is a long non-coding RNA of Helianthus annuus (common sunflower), 1611 nucleotides long. RefSeq lists it as uncharacterized. The transcript has 3 exons. The record is from RefSeq and is a predicted model, not a curated record. NCBI's taxonomy places the organism in Eukaryota, Viridiplantae, Streptophyta, Magnoliopsida, Asterales, Asteraceae.